UCUUUUUGUUUUAAGAUAUAAAAAGUCGUGCCUGCCCGGUGAUUUAUUUUAACGGCCGCAGUUUUCUGUGCUAAGGUAGCGCAAUAAAUAGCCCUUUUAUUGGGGGAUAAGUAUGAAUGGCUUGACAUGGAGCAACUGUCUUAAUGUAAUAAAUAGAAAUUUCUUUGCAAGUGAAAAAGCUUGUAUAUUUGUAAAAGACGAGAAGACCCUAUCGAACUUGAUUAAAAAUAUUUAAAAUAAGUUUAAAAACACAAACUUAAAUAAAGUGUGUAAAUAUUUUAUUAUUUUAAAGUUUUGUUGGGGUGACAAAGGGCCAUAAAAAAUGUCCUUUUAUUAUAUAUAGAUCCUUUAUGAUAGAAUAAAGCAAAAGUUACCGUAGGGAUAACAGCGUAAUAUUUUUUCAAGAGAUCUUAUUGAGAAAAAAGUGUGCGACCUCGAUGUUGAAUUAAAGAAACUUUAUGAUUGCAAAAGUUAUAAUAGUAAGACUGUUCGUCUUUUUAUUCUUU
Molecule: ribosomal RNA, 506 nt
Filed under: Turtonia minuta
Lineage: Eukaryota; Metazoa; Mollusca; Bivalvia; Venerida; Turtoniidae
Description: partial large subunit ribosomal RNA
Rfam family: Bacterial large subunit ribosomal RNA
Source: RNAcentral